UGGUUAUGCUAAUAAGAGCGUAUGGUGGAUGCCUUGGCACUAAGAGCCGAUGAAAGACGUGAUAAGCUGCGAAAAGCUUCGGGGAGGAGCAAAUAUCCUGAGAUCCGGAGAUAUCUGAAUGGGGAAACCUACUUGAGAAGACCUCAAGUAUCCACAGCCCAAUCCAUAAGCUGUGGAAGGGAACCCGGUGAACUGAAACAUCUAAGUAGCCGGAGGAAGAGAAAACAACAUGUGAUUCCGUAAGUAGCGGCGAGCGAACGCGGAAGAGCCCAAACCGGAGUGCGUGCACUCCGGGGUUCGGACUGCAGGAUUGACGAGUGAGCCUAGUAGAAUGGUUUUGGGAAAGCCAGCCAGAGAGGGUGAAAGCCCCGUACACGAAAGGCAAGCGAGCAUGGCAGGAUCCAGAGUACCACGAGACACGUGAAACCUUGUGGGAAUGAGCGGGGACCACCCCGUAAGGCUAAAUACUCCUUAGUGACCGAUAGCGCAUAGUACUGUGAAGGAAAGGUGAAAAGGACCCCGGGAGGGGAGUGAAAGAGAACCUGAAACCAUAUGUUUACAAGCUGUGGAACAUCUUUAUAUGAUGAACCGCGUACUUUUUGUAGAACGGUCCGGCGAGUUACGCUGGCUGGCGAGGUUAAGGGCUGAAGGCCUGGAGCCGAAGGGAAACCGAGUCUGAACAGGGCGAAAUAGUCAGUCGGAGUAGACCCGAAACCGGGUGAUCUAUCCAUGUCCAGGUUGAAGUUGCCGUAAAAGGCAAUGGAGGACCGAACCCACAUCCGUUGAAAAGGGUGGGGAUGAGGGGUGGAUAGGGGAGAAAUUCCAAUCGAACCCGGAGAUAGCUGGUUCUCCUCGAAAUAGCUUUAGGGCUAGCCUCAUGCAAGUCUUACGGAGGUAGAGCACUGAAUUCCUAAGGGGGCGUCAAAGCUUACCAAGGGAUAUCAAACUCCGAAUGCCGUGUAGAUGGUGCAUGGGAGUCAGACUAUCCGAGAUAAGUUGGGUAGUCAAAAGGGAAAGAGCCCAGACCUACAGCUAAGGUCCCAAAAUGUGUGUUAAGUGGAAAAGGAUGUGGGAUUUCGAAGACAACUAGGAUGUUGGCUUAGAAGCAGCCAUCCAUUAAAAGAGUGCGUAAUAGCUCACUAGUCGAGAGGUCCUGCGCCGAAAAUGUCCGGGGCUGAAACACACUACCGAAGCUUGGGAAUUGACGAAUGUUAAUUGGUAGAGGAGCAUUCUUAACGGGGCGAAGCUGUACCGGAAGGAGCAGUGGACUGUUAAGAAGAGAGAAUGCCGGAAUGAGUAGCGAGAGGAAGGUGAGAAUCCUUCCGGCCGAAUAUCUAAGGUUUCCAGAGUAAAGCUGAUCUGCUCUGGGUAAGUCGGGGCCUAAGGCGAGGUCGAAAGACGUAGUCGAUGGAUAACAGGUAAAGAUUCCUGUACUGUAUCAUAACAGAACUGUGGGGACGCAGACAGAGAGCAUAAGCCGGGAAUGGAAAGACCGGUACAAGCGAGGUAGGAGUGCAUCAGGCAAAUCCGGUGCACAAUCUGAAGACGUGAUGUGGGGCGUAAAGCCGGAAGUAUGUGAGCUGGCUGCCAAGAAAAGCCGCUAUUGUUUAUGAUAUACCCGUACCGUAAACCGACACAGGUGGAUGAGGAGAGAAUCCUAAGGCCGACGGGAGAAGCAUUGUUAAGGAACUCGGCAAAAUGACUCCGUAACUUCGGGAGAAGGAGUGCCAUGUAAAAGUGGCCGCAGAGAAUUGGCCCAAGCAACUGUUUAGCAAAAACACAGGUCUAUGCAAAACCGAAAGGUGAGGUAUAUGGGCUGACGCCUGCCCGGUGCUGGAAGGUUAAGGGGAGAGGUUAGCCGUAAGGCGAAGCUUUGAACUUAAGCCCCAGUAAACGGCGGCCGUAACUAUAACGGUCCUAAGGUAGCGAAAUUCCUUGUCGGGUAAGUUCCGACCCGCACGAAAGGCGUAAUGAUUUGGGCACUGUCUCAACAAUGCACCCGGUGAAAUUGAAAUACCAGUGAAGAUGCUGGUUACCUGCGCCAGGACGGAAAGACCCCAUGGAGCUUUACUCCAGCUUGAUACUGGGAUUCGAUAUUGCAUGUACAGGAUAGGUGGGAGACUNNNNNNNNNNNNNUGAAACGGUGACGCCAGUUGCCGCGGAGUCAAUGUUGGGAUACCACCCUUGCAGUAUUGGAUUUCUAACAUGUGCCCGUGAACCGGGCAGUGGACAAUGCCAGGCGGGGAGUUUGACUGGGGCGGUCGCCUCCGAAAGGGUAUCGGAGGCGCUCAAAGGUUCCCUCAGAAUGGUUGGAAACCAUUCGAAGAGUGCAAAGGCAGAAGGGAGCUUGACUGCGACACCGACGGGUGGAGCAGGUACGAAAGUAGGACUUAGUGAUCCGGUGGUAUAAAGUGGGAUUGCCAUCGCUCAACGGAUAAAAGCUACCCUGGGGAUAACAGGCUUAUCACUCCCAAGAGUUCACAUCGACGGAGUGGUUUGGCACCUCGAUGUCGGCUCAUCGCAUCCUGGGGCUGAAGUAGGUCCCAAGGGUUGGGCUGUUCGCCCAUUAAAGCGGUACGCGAGCUGGGUUCAGAACGUCGUGAGACAGUUCGGUCCCUAUCCGGCGUGGGCGUAGGAUAUUUGAGAGGAGCUGCCCUUAGUACGAGAGGACCGGGGUGGACUGGCCGCUGGUGGAUCUGUUGUAUUACCAAAUGCAUAGCAGAGUAGCCAAGCCGGGACGGGAUAAACGCUGAAGGCAUCUAAGCGUGAAGCCCCCCUCAAGAUGAGAUAUCCCAUAACGUCAAGUUAGUAAGACCCCUUGAAGACGACGAGGUAGAUAGGGCAGAGGUGGAAGUGCGGUAACGCAUGGAGCUGACUGUUACUAAUAGGUCGAGGGCAUAACCAA
RNAcentral lists this ribosomal RNA (2905 nucleotides) under Mediterraneibacter gnavus. RNAcentral describes it as "[Ruminococcus] gnavus 23S ribosomal RNA". It matches the Rfam family "Bacterial large subunit ribosomal RNA". The record is from RNAcentral. Lineage: Bacteria; Bacillati; Bacillota; Clostridia; Lachnospirales; Lachnospiraceae.